This 77-nucleotide transfer RNA is filed under the name Pseudomonadales bacterium. Its description in RNAcentral is "tRNA-Val". It matches the Rfam family "tRNA". From Rfam's summary of the family: Transfer RNA (tRNA) molecules are approximately 80 nucleotides in length. The record is from RNAcentral. Lineage: Bacteria; Pseudomonadati; Pseudomonadota; Gammaproteobacteria; Pseudomonadales.
AGGCGAUUAGCUCAGCUGGUUAGAGCACCACCUUGACAUGGUGGGGGUCGUUGGUUCGAGUCCAAUAUCGCCUACCA